GCUGAGCUGGGUUGGGAAGAAAGUCCCGGAAGUAGCAUCAUUUAAUCGACAUUGAUGUGAAUUUCCAGAAAGGCCGACAUAUUCAUACUCAAAUGUAAACAGAUAAAAUCCAGUUUGAAUGUAUUUUAUUUAUUCCCAUGAUUACUAUUCCUAUUAUUAAGCUCUUAAUCUUUACUAGGCACCUUUCUAAGUGUUUUACUUGCAUCUUAUUUAAUCCUCACAACUCCAUGAGAGGUUAAGCAAUGGGCACUGAAUCACACAAGCAGAAAGUGGUGGAGGCAGGACUUGAACCCAGAUCUGCAUGACUUCAAAGCCCAGAACACGGCUUCCCUCUUCCCAACAUUCAGGACAGAACUGACUGUCAAAGUAGGCAAAAUUUAUUUAUGUCAGAAUCCAAUGGAAAAAAAUAGUCUCUCGUUUUAGGGGUAUCCCUGAUGUAUUCCAGCUUCCAAGUACUGAUUCCCUCCUAAAAGGCAAUUCAGGUCAGACAUACAGCACAACAGCUCACCUGACAGAACCUGGAAUGCAGAAGUGGAAGGAUUAGCAAGAAUGGACCAAAUGUUUGAUUAAUUUGAAUCAGUCAAACUAAAAUUGGUACAUUGUACAUGCCUACUCUGGACACUGCUUAGUGGGGGAGAUAAUGUUCGAGAUACAGAGAUGGCUAAGAAAUAGUCCAUAUCCUCUGAGAACAUAAAAGAGUAGAGGGGGAGACAAACAUUUACAAAAGUAUCUCUGAGAUGAGGAAAAAUAUGGUUUAAAAAAAGGCAAAAAUACUAAGAGUGGGAGUUGGAAGAGGUAGACCUAAAUGACUCCUUGGAAGAUUUGAAAGGGUUUUCUGGCCAGGUGUGGUGGUUCAAGCCUAUAAUCCCAGUACUUUUGAAGGCUGAGGAGGGAGGAUCGCUUGGGCCCAGGAGUUCGAGGUUGCAAUGAGCUAUGAUUGCGCCAGUGCAUUCCAGCCUUGGUGACCGAGUGAGACCCUGUCUCAAAAUUUAAUUAAUUAAUUAUUAUUAUUAUUAUUUGAGGUGGAGUUUCGCUCUUGUUGUCCAGGACGGAGUGCAGUGGUGCGAUCUUGGCUCACCGCAACCUCUGCCUCCCGGGUUCAAGCAAUUCUCCUGCCUCAGCCUCCCGAGUAGCUGGGAUUACAGGCAUGUGCCACCACACAUGGCUAAUUUUCUAUUUUUAGUAGAGAUGGAGUUUCUCCAUGUUGGUCAGGCUGGUCUCGAACUCCCAACCUCAGGUGAUCCAUCCACCUUGGCUUCCCAAAGUGCUGGGAUUACAGGUGUGAGCCACCGCGCCCGGCAAUUAAUUUUUAAAAAGAAAGGGUUUUCUGUGGAGGUGGCAGCUGAACUGGACUUUAAGUAUUGAUAGGAUUUCAACAGACACAUAUGAGAAGGGGGGUUAGAUAGGGAAGAAAGGGAAUUACAGAGAGAAGCAAUAGCAAGAACAAAGACUUGGGUCAUGGGGGGAAGUGCAGGGCAUGCUGAAAACUUGUGUUCUUGGCUAGAUGGAAUAUAAGGUUCACCAAGGGCAUAGGCAGGAGAUAAGGCUGGCAUUAGAGGGUAGAGAGCCUUGGACACCAGGCUAAAGGGUUAGAACCCCACUCGGCAAUAGGAAUCAUUUAGGAUUUUCACUUGUAAGGAGUAAUGUUUAAAAGUAUGCUUUAUAAUGACAUCUGUCAGUGAUAGUUGAAGAAGGUUUGCUAAUUUCCAGGCAAAAGAACACUGAGGCCAGGUGCAGUGGUCUCAUGCCUGUAAUCCUAACACUUUGGGAGGCCAAGCAGGAGAAUGGUUUAAGGCCAGGAGUUUGAGACCAGCCUGGUCAACAGAGCAAGAUGCUGUCUCUACCAAAAAAAAAAAAAAAAAAAAAAAAAAAAAAAAAAAAAAAAAAGAGAGAGAGAGAGAGAGAAAGGAACAGUGAGGCUGGCCUAAGGAGUUGGUGGUGGGCAGAUAAAGAGAGGGCAGAUGUACUAUACAGUGAACAUGGUUAGAAGAUAAUACUUAUCAGGCACUAAAAAUGUCGAAAAGUAUUUAUUGGCAUGAUCAAAUGAUCAUGACAUUAGUAAGUGUAAAAGAAAACAUAAUACAUAAAAUAUAAGUAUAUUCCUAUUCUUUUAAAUACCUACCUGUCUACAUACACAGAUACAUGCAUACACAUAUUUAGAGAGAGGGAGGGAAGGAGAGAGAGAGGUAUCUGGCUUGAGCAGCUAGGGAAGUAGUGUGACCAUUAGCUAGGACAAAGAAUUUAGGAGAAAUUAGCAGUGUCGGUGCAGAAAAUACAGAGUUCCUGUUAGGUUUAACCUGUGAAAUAUCCUGGGGAUAUGCCACAAGCGUGGCUGCACACAUAGGUCUGAAGCUCAAGAGAGAGAUUUCAGCUAUAGACAUCAGGAGCCAUCAGCCUUUAGAGGUUGCUUAAAACUUAGGAGUAGAUGAUACUACCCUGAAAAGGAGUAAAGAAGAGAGGGCAGCCGAAGACAGACCGCCUCCCCCCAUCCUCAGCAAUUAAACAAUACUAUUUACAGGGUGGGCAAAAGGAGUAGAGCCUGCAAAGAAUAGUCUCUAAAUUGCUAGCAAUCUAUAGUUCUACUACCCCAGCCGAGUACUGGAAACAUGUAACCUUGUUUCCACUUUAUUGAUAAAAUGCACAGGAGCUCUCCUCCAUCACCUUUCCUCACUCAAGGGUCUGUGUAUAAUUCUGACUCAUGCCUUUAACCCUUCUGCCUAAUUCAGAGGCGACUUCUCACCUCCUUGUAAAGGCCAACCAAUUCCUUGAAUCCGCUAACUUCUCAAUUGUCUCCCUCUGAUGGUGUACUCUGAGAUGUUCUCUUUAUCAAACAUUUUCAGCAUCCCCUGUGCCACUAGCUUUGUUUCCUUUACUUACAAAUACGCCAGGAUUUUCUCGAUCCUGAGAACUCUAACUGGCAUGAUUGUCUCCAAUAUUUCCUGCUGUUUCCUCCCUAUAGUGCCAAACUUCUCCAAUGCAUGGUCUACACUCACUCCACAGCCCUCUUCCUUAUAAACCACGGCAAUGUCAAGCAACUCCCUAAACUGAAACUGCCCCCUCAAAAGUUACUGGUAAUCUCCUUAUCUUAAAAUCCAGUGGGUUUCAUUUGGCCAUCACAGUCUUUGAUCCUUCUGCAAAUUUGAUGACGCUGACCAUCUUUCUUUCUUGAAAACUCUUUCCAUUUUGGUUCAAUUAACACUUACCGGUUCCCCUUUGGUUCAAUAAACAUUGACUGAACACCUCUUAGGUGCUAAAAUAAAAAAGAUACAAUACUUGAUAUCGGAGUGUGAGAAGUUUUAACCUAGUUGGGAAGUGUCAAUGAAUUUCACAACAGAGAUCUUUGCCCUGUUGAGAAAGGCUGAAGUGGUAGAUGCAAACUCUGUGAGUUGAGGAGUUCAGCCAACUUACAAUGGGAAGAGAGGGAGAGGAAAUAGCAAACGUAAUUGAUAUUGUCAAGAAAUUUACUGGAGAAGAGAAAAAGAAAACUUUCUAGAAAAUGCCUAUAAGUGGCUAUAGGACAAUGGAGCAGUGUUUUCAGAAUGUGGAGAGGCUUCAGCAUGUUCUUAGAAUGAAGAGAAGUGCAAGUAGACAAGAAGAAGUUGAAAACAGAGGAGAGAGAGAAGAUAAUGGAUGGGGCAAAGUCCUGGAAGUACCAGGAAGUGUUGGGAUGCAUAUCACAGAGCUGCUAUGAACAGAGGGAGGGCGCUCUUCCACUACAUCGUACUGAAGCAUGUAUGAUUUGAGGGUGAAAAAGAGUUCCUCCUUUGGUACUAUACUGGAGAGGUUAUAGAUAGGUGGCCCAAAUACUUGGCCUAAAGAUGUGGUUUUUUUUUUUGAUCUGCAAAGAAUUUUAAAGUAAUUGGAACUUGUUGCUAACACUUACAGAUCAUGAGAUUUCAAAUAAAAAUCUGUAUUACCAGCUUCUUAAAAACUAGAUGAGUAGGAUCUUAAGAAGGGGAUGGGCACGUUCUUCCUUAUAGCUAUCGUUGCACGUAUGUAUCUUUACUAUAUGAGGGAAUAGACUUAUGCAAAUGAAGGGAUUUGUCCAAGAUGACACUGUUAAUUAAAGACAAGGUUAGGUCUAGAAAUCAGGUCUCCUAACUCCAACUCCAGUGCUCUUUCCCUUAUAUCUCAGUGUGACAUAUCACCCCUUAUCUCUCUUGAGCACUAUCCCAUAUUGUUAAUUGCCUGUUAGGCAUUUCUUCCAGUUAGGGUGGAUCAAAAAUCCUGUGGCCACAUACAACACACAACAAUAUACAUAACCAUAACAACAUACUUCAUAUCUAUUUUGGCAAUAAGUCCUGUUAACUUGUCCUUCCAAAUGUUUUUUGGGGGUGAGAUGCAGUGGCUCACGCCUGUAAUCCCAACACUUUGGGAGGUUGAGGAGGGAGGAUCACUUGAAACCAAGAGUCCAAGACCAGCCUGGGGAACAUGACAAGACUCUGUUCUACAAAAUUUAAAAAUUAGCCAGAUACAGUGGUGUGCACCUGUAGUCUCAACUACUUGGGAGGCUGAGACGGGAAGAUCGCUCGAGCCCAGGAGUUCAAGGCUGCAGUGAGCUAUGAUCAUGCUCGCUGCACUCCAGCCUAGGUGACAAAGUGAGACUCUGUCUCAAAAAAAAAAAAGUCUUUUUAAUCUAGGCCUUUCUUUGGCAACCACUUCUACGACCCUAGUGGAAGUGGACAAACUUAUUAUCUUAAUACGGUUUUGCCUUCAGCCUCUGAAAGACUCAUAGAGCCUUAUAGUUGAAAAGAACCUCAGAGGUUAUCUAUAUCCAAACUUCAGCUGAAGACAGAAUUGUUUCUAUAUUACUUCUGAUCCUGACAAUGGUCAGCCAGCUGCUGUGCAGGGCACUCCCUACCUUCAGAGGCAGCUCAUUUCACUAGCAGACACCAGGGUAAUUACAAAGUUCUGUCACUCACCUAUGAAACAUGUUUACUAACAUGCCAGACACAGUGCUUGGGACACUGGAUAUAUAGCUGCACAGGGUCCCCAUUGGCCUUAAGUAACUUUCAGUUACUUGAGUCUCUUCAUCUCUAACAUGGAGAUUAUUGAAGCCUUCUUGUGAGAAUCACCUGGUAUAAAGUGUGUAGAAAUGCUCUUUAACUAAGGGCAAUACAUGUAAGGCUUUCCCCUCCAGCUCCCUCCUCUUUUUUUUUUUUUUUUUUUUUUUUUUGAUUGAAGACUGGGUCUUGCUCUGUCCCCCAGGCUGGAGUGUAGUGGUGUGAUCUCGGCUCACUACAGCCUAGACCUCCUGGGCUCGAGCAAUCCUCCCACCUCAGCCUCCCAAGUAGCUGGGACUACAGGUGCACGCCACUGUGCCCGGCUAAUUUUUGUAUCUUUAGUAGAGAUGGGGUUUCACCAUGUUGCCCAGGCUGGUCUCGAACUCCUGGACUCAAGUGAUCCACCCGCCUCAGCCUCCCAAAGGCAAGGGAUUACCGGCAUUAGCCACCACGCCCGGCCAGCUUUCCCUCUCUUCAACUAUGUAAUGUACUGGGGUGGGAGGCUGUGAUUCCAUUAUCAUCUUUUAAAUUACAUUUUAUACAUACAAAAGAAUAAUUAUAAUGUAUACAUGUGUUAUAUACUUAAUUAGGUUAAUACCCAUAAACCUACCUUUUAUCCCAAAAACUGCACCAUUACCAAUGGCAUCCACCUGUGUGUUUUUUCUCCUCCCAUCCCCAAUCUCUCUACGGUAACUAUUAAUACAUUUUGUGCUUAUCAUUCCUUGCUUUUCCCAAAGUUUUAUCAUAUAUGUAAACACAAUAUUGCUUAAUUUUGCUUGUUUUGGAACUCCUGGGCUCAGGUGAUCUUCCCGCCCUGGCCUCACAGAGUGCUGGGAUUACAGGCGUGAGCCACUGAGCCUGGCCUGUUCCUAAGAUUGAUCCACUCCGAUUAUGUACUUUGUACCUAUUUUCCAAGCCUCAUCUUCUUCACGCAGCCUUCAGAUCACAGGAGCACAAAGUGAU
Molecule: long non-coding RNA, 5966 nt
Filed under: Homo sapiens (human)
Lineage: Eukaryota; Metazoa; Chordata; Mammalia; Primates; Hominidae
Description: HSALNT0015843
Source: RNAcentral